Molecule: ribosomal RNA, 371 nt
Filed under: uncultured fungus
Lineage: Eukaryota; Fungi
Description: eukaryotic LSU rRNA
Rfam family: 5.8S ribosomal RNA (bases 7-160)
Source: RNAcentral
AAUCAAAACUUUCAACAACGGAUCUCUUGGUUCUGGCAUCGAUGAAGAACGCAGCAAAAUGCGAUAAGUAAUGUGAAUUGCAGAAUUCAGUGAAUCAUCGAAUCUUUGAACGCACAUUGCGCCCGCCAGUAUUCUGGCGGGCAUGCCUGUUCGAGCGUCAUUUCAACCCUCAAGCACAGCUUGGUGUUGGGACUCGCGUUAAUUCGCGUUCCUCAAAUUGAUUGGCGGUCACGUCGAGCUUCCAUAGCGUAGUAGUAAAACCCUCGUUACUGGUAAUCGUCGCGGCCACGCCGUUAAACCCCAACUUCUGAAUGUUGACCUCGGAUCAGGUAGGAAUACCCGCUGAACUUAAGCAUAUCAAUAAGCGGAGG